UUACAUUCUUCUUAGUGGGAUGCCGCCAUUUUGGGGUAAGACUAAGUCACGAAUAUUUGAUGCUGUAAGGGCUGCUGAUCUGCGAUUCCCAUCUAUUCCUUGGGAUUGGAUAACUGAAUCUGCAAAGGAGUUAGUCAGGGGCAUGCUUUGUACUGAUCCUUCACGAAGGCUUACUGCACAACAGGUUUUAGAUCAUUCCUGGAUGAAGGAUGAUGCAUUAUGUCCUGAAGAACCUAGUCAAUGUGAAAAGCAAAGUUGUGAAGAAUGGGAUUUAGGUGGUGGCUCUUUCUCUACAUUGAUGGCCAGGAAUCAGGACGUAAGCUUUGGCACUGGAUCACCUAUUACUUGUGAUACUGAAUCACCUACUCUCGGAUGCAGAUCAUCAUUUUCUUCUUUCCUUGUGGAACCUUCAACACCUUCCUCUGUAUCUGGUCUGUUCUCUUUCUGUAGCUGUGGCGAUUCUGAUGCCUUGGAAUUUUCUUCCCCUGUAUUAUCAAUGCCAAGCUUUGCUAUCUUCAGCCAUGGUCCUUUGAUGGAGCAAGGGAGUUGUGCAUUGGAUCUCUCAAACAAUAUUUCCAAUUUUAGUGAAAGUUAUGGAGAGGUCAGCUUGGAGAAUAUGCUCAUGUUCCCUCAAUCUCCUCUAUUCUGUGGACAUGAAUCUAGGGAAAUGGAACGCAAGUCAGCUGAUGUUAAAAGGUCAGGAGGAGCCAUCGGGUCUAGGAUGGGCAUGAACAGUAAGAGGAACCAUACAAUUGGUCUCGGUGAGUGUGAGCAACUCAAUCUCAUGGUGACCGAGUCAGUUAUCCGAUGGGCAUCAUGCACGCAUCUUCCAACUGCUCCAUCUCUUAGUCUUCUGUUGUCUGUUGAAACUUGAAAGAGAGGGCCAGUUGGCAGCCUGAAGCUACAGAAUGAAACUGGAGGCUGUGAUGGAUGAUUGAGAUGGAGAAAGUAGCAUGCCCACACCAGUUUCUGCUAGCCAAUGUAUUUGUAAAUAUGUUUGUUUUCCUGUUUUGCUGAAUCAUGGUGAGAAAGUCCUAGGCAAGCUUCAAAGGGUGGUGUGAUUUGAGUGACGUCUUUUUGUUAUCUUCAAUUUGUGCACUACUAGGUAGCCAAAAUAACAAGCUGCGAGUAAUAGUCUUCUGCCUUGUGUAUAAAACUAAAUUUUCAUUGUAGAUAAAUUACCUCUUUUGAUCUCUGAGCAACGUUGUUGUCCAUUGAGUCGAUGAAGUUGGGUUCCUAAAUUUUAAAAUUAUUUUUUUAUCUUUCCAUAAUUGGAUUUUGUUACAUAUUAUAGGAAGAAGUGUAGGAAUAAAGUGUAAAUAGUGUUGUAGAGAAUUAUAUAACAAUUGCAAUUGGCGGGAAGGGUAGUUCUUCCUGCCAAUUACAAUUGUUCUAUAAUUCUCUACAAUAUUAUUUACACUUUAGUCCUAUGCUUCUUCCUAUAAAUAUGUAACAAACAUCAAGACAAAUGAUAUUCACAUAUAAUAAUUCACAUGGAUAAAGGUUAUUGGAAGUAUAAAAGCAAACAGUUAUUGCUGCUAUUGGAAGUAAUGCUUACAUACAUACCGUUGCUCAGAUCUUUAUGUAUCUCAAGCAAAAGUUGUAUGAAUCAAACUCUACCUUUUAGGAACUGGAAUAUGCUCCCAUUCUGAGCAAUUAACUUUUUUAACAUGCAACCUCAGGAUAUUUUUCAGUCCCCUUCAACCAGAAAAUUUAUAUUAGCACACAAAGUAAUGAAGGGAAAACAUUGUCAUAGUAUUGCAGUGAAAAGUUGCAAAAGAAUUAUAGAAUAAAAAAACUUCAAAAAAGAGAAGUAUCAACUUUUCCACAAACAAUAGUAUUU
RNAcentral lists this unclassified non-coding RNA (1843 nucleotides) under Hevea brasiliensis (rubber tree). Lineage: Eukaryota; Viridiplantae; Streptophyta; Magnoliopsida; Malpighiales; Euphorbiaceae. The record is from RNAcentral.